ACAGGAGUGCUGCUCAGGGCACAUCCAGUAGCCAGUGGGUGUUCUGGGGAUACUAAGCCCGAGCUGCACGAAUAUCUAGUGUCCCACUGCAUAAGAGCUGCAUGACCCAGGGACGGUGGUGUCACAGCAUUGAGAAGGUGCCAUUGAGAUGAAAAUACAAAUGAAAAAGCAAAGUCAUAUCCAAACGACAUUUGACUUAUCAAACAUUAAAACAACUAAAAUAGAUCAUUAGAGCAUCAGAAGAGUCAAAUUCAAAAACAGAAUGCAGAAAUCUCAGAGCAUGAUGACAGACCACCUGAAACAUCUAAGGGUUAAUUACAAGACCCUGAAGAAAAGAUUAGUAUUCACAUAAGUCACAAGACACGAUACACUUGUUUGAUAAAUGUAUAGCUUCAGACGCUCCUUAAAAUCAUACCUAUUCAGAGCGGCUUACCAUCUCUCCUCCAUCUCUUAUCCUAACCAAAAUAAUUCUUGAACUGCCUGACUCACUGCUGCAACUACAACCGAUGUGACAAGCUGCCCCUAACCUUAUGUCUCUGCACCCUAAACCUGCAGACUGUGAGCUCUCCGCCUGUACCAGAUUUGUUUAGUUUUGUUAUGUUUUGUAUUUUUUUUAAAUCCUUGACAUUGAAUAUCCCUAUCAUUGUACCCAGCGCUACGGAAUUUUGCGACGCUAUACAAAUAAAUUGUAACAAUAAUAAUAAUGUAA
Molecule: long non-coding RNA, 709 nt
Organism: Bombina bombina (fire-bellied toad)
Lineage: Eukaryota; Metazoa; Chordata; Amphibia; Anura; Bombinatoridae
Exons: 2
Source: RefSeq, a predicted model, not a curated record